RNAcentral lists this ribosomal RNA (1253 nucleotides) under metagenome. Its description in RNAcentral is "bacterial LSU rRNA". It matches the Rfam family "Bacterial large subunit ribosomal RNA", at positions 1635 to 2880 of the family's 2925-position model. The record is from RNAcentral.
UAUACGACCGUACCGCAAACCGACACUGGUGCGCGAGAUGAGUAUUCUAAGGCGCUUGAGAGAACUCAGGAGAAGGAACUCGGCAAAUUGACACCGUAACUUCGGAAGAAGGUGUGCCCUAUUAGUGUGUAGUGAACAACGAAGCAUGAAUGGGUUGCAAAAAAUCGGUGGCUGCGACUGUUUAUUAAAAACACAGCACUCUGCAAACACGAAAGUGGACGUAUAGGGUGUGACGCCUGCCCGGUGCUGGAAGAUUAAAUGAUGGGGUGCAAGCUCUUGAUUGAAGUCCCAGUAAACGGCGGCCGUAACGAUAACGGUCCUAAGGUAGCGAAAUUCCUUGUCGGGUAAGUUCCGACCUGCACGAAUGGCGUAACGAUGGCCACACUGUCUCCUCCUGAGACUCAGCGAAGUUGAAAUGUUUGUGAUGAUGCAAUCUCCCCGCGGAAAGACGGAAAGACCCCAUGAACCUUUACUGUAGCUUUGUAUUGGACUUUGAACAGAUCUGUGUAGGAUAGGUGGGAGGCUUUGAAGCAGGGUCGCUAGAUCUUGUGGAGCCAACGUUGAAAUACCACCCUGGUGUGUUUGAGGUUCUAAUCUAGGUCCAUUAUCUGGAUCGGGGACAGUGCAUGGUAGGCAGUUUGACUGGGGCGGUCUCCUCCCAAAGCGUAACGGAGGAGUUCGAAGGUACGCUAGUUACGGUCGGACAUCGUGACGAUAGUGCAAUGGCAUAAGCGUGCUUAACUGCGAGACUGACAAGUCGAGCAGAUGCGAAAGCAGGACAUAGUGAUCCGGUGGUUCUGUAUGGAAGGGCCAUCGCUCAACGGAUAAAAGGUACUCUGGGGAUAACAGGCUGAUACCGCCCAAGAGUUCAUAUCGACGGCGGUGUUUGGCACCUCGAUGUCGGCUCAUCUCAUCCUGGGGCUGUAGCCGGUCCCAAGGGUAUGGCUGUUCGCCAUUUAAAGAGGUACGUGAGCUGGGUUUAAAACGUCGUGAGACAGUUUGGUCCCUAUCUUCCGUGGGCGCUGCAGAUUUGAGGAAGCCUGCUCCUAGUACGAGAGGACCGGAGUGGACACACCUCUGGUGUAUCGGUUGUCACGCCAGUGGCAUUGCCGAGUAGCUAAGUGUGGAAGAGAUAACCGCUGAAAGCAUCUAAGCGGGAAACUCGUUUCAAGAUGAGAUCUGCCGGGGCCUUGAGCCCCCUAAAGAGUCGUUCAAGACCAGGACGUUGAUAGGUCAGGUGUGGAAGCGAAAAA